Molecule: ribosomal RNA, 445 nt
Filed under: uncultured bacterium
Lineage: Bacteria
Description: SSU rRNA
Rfam family: Bacterial small subunit ribosomal RNA
Source: RNAcentral
AGAGCGAACGCUGGCGGCAGGCCUAACACAUGCAAGUCGAGCGCUCCGCAAGGAGAGCGGCGCACGGGAGAGUAACGCGUGGGAACCUACCUUUUGGUUCGGAAUAACAUCGGGAAACUGGUGCUAAAUACCGGAUAAGCCCCUUGGGGGAAAGAUUUAUCGCCGAAAGAUGGGCCCGCGUUGGAUUAGCUAGUUGGUGAGGUAAUGGCUCACCAAGGCUACGAUCCAUAGCUGGUCUGAGAGGAUGAUCAGCCUCACUGGGACUGAGACACGGCCCAGACUCCUACGGGAGGCAGCAGUGGGGAAUAUUGGACAAUGGGGGCAACCCUGAUCCAGCCAUGCCGCGUGAAUGAUGAAGGCCUUCGGGUUGUAAAGUUCUUUUGCAGGGGACGAUGAUGACGGUACCCUGAGAAUAAGCUCCGGCUAACUUCGUGCCAGCAGCCGC